UAUGUUAUUUCAAGUAAGAAGCAGUGCCAAUGUCUUAAAUGGGGAAAAAAACACAUAUGGAAAUUGAAGCCGAUCAAAAUUACGCAUCCAGGAUCUGCUGUAUUUCUCCUUUGAGAAUUCAUAACAGCAACAGAUAUCUUAGAUGUAAGGCCUGUUCAGAGGUCCCUCCCAGGUCCAACAUGCCAAGGCCUCCUUGUUGGACUCCUUGUGCAGCAGUAUUUCUUACUGAAAUAAUCUUUUUCUCCUAAGGUUCUGUCAAGCUAGACACUU
Molecule: long non-coding RNA, 270 nt
Organism: Neopelma chrysocephalum (saffron-crested tyrant-manakin)
Lineage: Eukaryota; Metazoa; Chordata; Aves; Passeriformes; Pipridae
Exons: 3
Source: RefSeq, a predicted model, not a curated record